RNAcentral lists this RNase P RNA (431 nucleotides) under Bradyrhizobium genosp. SA-3. Its description in RNAcentral is "RNase P RNA component class A". It matches the Rfam family "Bacterial RNase P class A". From Rfam's summary of the family: Ribonuclease P (RNase P) is a ubiquitous endoribonuclease, found in archaea, bacteria and eukarya as well as chloroplasts and mitochondria. Its best characterised activity is the generation of mature 5'-ends of tRNAs by cleaving the 5'-leader elements of precursor-tRNAs. Lineage: Bacteria; Pseudomonadati; Pseudomonadota; Alphaproteobacteria; Hyphomicrobiales; Nitrobacteraceae. The record is from RNAcentral.
UCAGUCGGCCGGACGGCCGCUCCGGCAGGGGCCGAAAGGCCGCCGGGGAGGAAAGUCCGGGCUCCCUUGACAUGCGGUGCCGGAUAACGUCCGGCGGGGGUAACCCCAGGGAAAGUGCCACAGAGAACGAACCGCCCGCCUUCGCCCCUUCGGGGCUUCGGCGAGGUAAGGGUGAAAAGGUGCGGUAAGAGCGCACCGCGGAUCCGGCAACGGAGCCGGCAUGGUAAACCCCACCGGGAGCAAAACCGAAUAGGGACGGCGUAGCGGGCUGUUCGCGCAAGCGAUAACGCCGCGGGGCGAUGUCAGGCCCGCCGUCCGGGUAGGUUGCUCGAGGCCAUGUGCAAACAUGACCCCAGAGGAAUGGCCGUCACGUACCGUUCGCGCAAGCGGGCGGUGCCCUACAGAACCCGGCUUACAGGCCGGCUGAUAUU